CAUCUCCAAAAUAUUCAUGAAUUGCUACAACAAGAGAAAUUCAUAGGAAUUUUUUAACGUUCCUAGUUUGUAAAGGAAUUCGAGGUGAUACGUCAGAAUAAGUGAACCCAUGUUUACGUUUUAGCCCCUGUUGCCGGCUCAUCACAAAAUAAACGACAAAUGACCAGAGUGAAUCCUACAGAACUAGAUACAUGAUGAAAUUCGUAUUACCUUCUUACAUGAUACUAGCAUACAUAAAAACAAUGAUUAGAUGUCACGAAAGGAAAAUCAUUUUGAUUUAGUCAUUAAUUUUCUGAUAAUGGCCCUCAACGGGGACUGAAACGUGGACUUGGGUUCGCAAGAACCUUGCUUAUCCGACCUUUGAUUACCCGAGGUUCUGCAUUAUCCGAGACGCCCAUCUCAUCCGAGCACUCUGCACUAACCGAGGCAGAAAAGACAAGAAGAAACUGAGGCUAGUUGCAAUAGGGUGCUCACAACGGUCAGGAAAGGAUAGAGAUAGAGAUUCUACUAGAGAUAUUCAAGAGUCGUGAGAUCAACGUCAAUCCGACUACUGGCAGUGAUAUCAGCAGAGCUCGGCCUUGAGAUACAUCAGAUGAAUAUCAUUACGGCGUACUUAAACGACACACUAGAAGAGGAUGUAUAUGUG
Molecule: long non-coding RNA, 646 nt
Organism: Neodiprion virginianus
Lineage: Eukaryota; Metazoa; Arthropoda; Insecta; Hymenoptera; Diprionidae
Exons: 2
Source: RefSeq, a predicted model, not a curated record